CUUUGUCUUUUAAAAAGGAAAAAAAAAAAGAAAAACUUUUUUCUCUCCCUUCUUCUUCUUCUUCCUCCCCCCAAUGUGAAGACCCUCUCUAUGUGCCCUAGCAGCCGUUGGCCAUCUCCUCUCCAACCAGCAUCACAUGUCUGACAGCCAUCAGUUCGUCGGUCAUUCGUCCGUGGGCCGUUGUUCGCACAGGUCAGCUCGAUCUCGUCAGCAAGUAACGAUCGUCCAGAUCUUCUUCAUCGCGUGCCAAUCUCGCCAAGCCGGUCAGAUUCGCAUCCGCAAGUUGCCGUCAAUCGUCUGGCUGCUUCAUUCGUGGGUCGUCGUGCCAUCAGCCAAGGUCUGAAGCCGAAUGACCCAGCCCAGCCGUCGAAACUUCCGCUGUGAGCCGUUCCUCCGUCCAGUCAUCUGAUCCGUGCGACCCACCGCCGAAUCCAGCUGACUGCCUCCCUCGCGCCGCGCGAUGUCGCUCACCGUUCGUAGGUGCAGUUGCGCCACUGUGAGUCACCUAGCCUCGUCAGCUGCCAGAUCUGAGAUGAAGCUCCCCCAGGCACACCGUCCAGCCUUCAAUCGCCGUCGCCGCCGCUCCAGCUUUUGACCACCGUCCAUCACCGCGCUGCCUAUGUUCUGUUGCGUGGGUCUUCGUCAGACUCUUAGAUUUUGAUUUGAGCUUGGGAAAUUAUAGCAGCGACUAUCCAGCAAAUUCAAGAUCGUUCGACAAGAGUUUUGGUUUCAAGUUGUCGUCCAUUGGGAUUUAAAAUCUGUUAGAAGGAGAUUUUUGAGUGGUUGUUGAUCAAGUACUUUGGGGUUGUUACUUCAAACCGCGGUCAUCGUUUGGUUGUCGGAGUUUAUCUGUGGAUCUUCAAUUAAGGACAAGGCGAAAGAUUGGCUGGAAUCAAUUGCAAUGGGGAGUAUAACUACAUGGGACGAGUUGGCCCAAGUCUUUCUGAACAAAUUCUUCCCUCCUGCAAAAACAAGUAAACUAAGAAUAGAUUUUUUUGCGAAAGAUUUUUAUGUGAAUCAAAACGGGAGGUGUAACUGUUCUUUGACUAAUUUUUUAUGUGAAUGUCGGUGCGGGAGAAUAUAUGUUUCAGGUGUUGUUGUGCAUGGAAUGAUGAAGCCACCUUGAAAGUUGUCUGAAAUGGAGACCUGGUCUAGCUAAAGACGAGAAACUAAGCGCUUCUUGGGAGGCAACCCAAGUUUUCUAGUUUUAAUUUAGUUUUUAUUUUAUUUGUUAUUUGAUUUUUUUAAGGAUAUAGAGCCACCUCAUGAUUAUUUUAUUUUGAUCCUCAGGUUAGAGAUGAUGCUCAAGUGUUUUCAAGCACCAGUUCGCCAUCCAGAUUCGUGAAUUCAUGCUCAUUACCCAGGCUUGUAUCACUCAUCUAUUGUGUGAUUGUUUUAGAUGUUAUGCAUUGGGGACAAUACAUCCUUUUAAGUUUGGGGUGGGAGGUGUGCUUUGUACUUGAAUCUUGUGCUUUUAUGCAUGUUGUUUUGAGUUGAUUGUUUUAUGCAUGUUAUUGUUGAUUUUGAGGAAAAAUUGAAAAAAAAUUUAACUUUUGAAAAAGAGUUGAUUUUGGUUAGGAAUAAUGUUGAGACUGAUUUAAUUGUGUUCUUUGGUAGCUUUCUUUUACUAUGAUGGUUGAUGAGUCACACGAUGUAUGCCAUGCUUUGAAGUAGAAAAUGGAUAACAUAUUCCUGUCUUGAAUGUUCUUUGUUCUGAAUCCUUCUUUGUAUCCUCUGUUAUAUUGAGCACAAACUAGAAUUUAGAACCUCUAACUAAACGAAGCAUUAAAUUAAGUCAAUUUGGUUGUCACCUCAAAAGGCCCCACUAGUUAGAGAAUGUCUUGCAUGAUGGGUUGUAAUGUUAGACUAAGAGGAAAGAAAAAAAUAUUAUUAUUGUCUUUGAAAAAAAAUAUAGAGUGUGCAUUCAUGCACUUAAAAGAAAUAUCUUUUUAUUAUUGUAAACUUGUAAAGUGUAUGCAUGGGUGGGGAUAAAAAGAGCUACCUUUGUUGUGAUUAGUUAGGACACUUGAGAAUUGAUUAGGUAUGGUUCCCUGUAGUGGAUGUGUGAAAGCUAUUGCCCCUAGGUAAAAUGAUACAAGUUUAGGGUCCUUUUGUUGUUAGAAAAAAAAAAAAAAAGAAAGAAAGAAAGAAAGAAAAAAGGAGAGAGAGAUAAGGCACCUUAGUGAACAUAUUACUUCCUUGAGUAUGUUGAUGCUUGAUGAUUGGUGCUUGAGCUAGAUUAGGGAGAAAAUUGAUGAAGCUUAAUUAAAUCUUAAGUCAGUUGUUGAGUUUUGAAUUAAAGGAGGAGUCACACACACAGAGGAUAAAAAGUUUUGCAUUUAGAAACUCCCAACGAUUAGGAUGUGUCUAAAUUUUUUUGUGGAUGAGUGUUGUAUAUGUUGAGAAGCUGAUGAAACCGGAAUAAGAGAAUGCAUGCCUUGAACCUUUUCAUUUUAGUAUUCAUUAUUUCUCCUACUUUGUGUUUCUUUCUUUUCUUUGCUUGGGACUAACAAAGUUUUACGUUUAGGGUGGUGAAAAGUAUCUAAAAAAUGUUUUUAUUACCUUCAAAUUUAGAACUAAUAUUGCUAGUCUUGUAGUUUGACGUGGUUUAUUGAGUAAUUUCAGGAAACUAAGCAUCAGGAGCAAUUUGUGCGAAAAUGAUAAAAAAGAAAAAAAAACCCUAGGGCAAAACUCCAAUUUUGAGCAAUUACGGGUUGGUUAUGAAAUUAGGAAGAAACCAAGGACCCAAGAUCAAGAAAAGAGUCAAUUUUGGAAGGCAAUUCGAGGGAGCCAAUAUUGGAAGAGUGUUGCAAUGCUGCACCCUGAUGUUGUAGACCCGAGACUAAUUGGAAACAGGGCAGCAUUGCAACGCUAUGACUUUGACAUGACGCCAACGUUGCAACAUUGGUUUGUAGCAUUGCAACACUAGAGCAUAUUAUAAAUAAUAGCGUUAAGCCACCAGGUCUGGAAAAAUAGGAGAGGAGGAAAAAGAAAUAGCCGACUUUGAUAAAUUUUACCUAAAUUCUAGUCGUACAAGAGUCGAAACAGAGGAAUUCUGAUCUUUUUGGUUGAAGACUCGAGAUUUUGAUUGAGAGUUGAUUUGAGAGCAUUUCUGGAUUGAUUGUGAUGGGAAGAUUGAUCGUGAUCAUGCAGUUUUGUUGAAGAACAAUCCGGUAUUCAUGGCGAGAGUCAAUAAGAUCGCAAUUGGGAUUCGAACCUAUUGAGGGGAGAUCGUUCUUCUUAUUAAUUUAUUUUUGGCCAUAAUGAUUGUUUUUUUGUUGAAUAUUGUUAUCGAAAUCAUGUGUGGCUAAACUCUUUUAUUCUAGGGUGUUUGUGGAUUUUAGGGAUGUUACUUUGAGUAUUUGAAUUUACAAUUGAUCAAUUUUGCAUAGAUUUCUAAAUUGUUUGUGCUUAAUGCUUUUGAUUAACUGGUCAUUAACUGAAUGAACUUAAG
This is a non-coding RNA of Benincasa hispida (wax gourd), 3454 nucleotides long. The record is from RefSeq and is a predicted model, not a curated record. Lineage: Eukaryota; Viridiplantae; Streptophyta; Magnoliopsida; Cucurbitales; Cucurbitaceae.